Mycena rebaudengoi is the source of this 88-nucleotide non-coding RNA. The record is from the annotation of a GenBank genome assembly. NCBI's taxonomy places the organism in Eukaryota, Fungi, Basidiomycota, Agaricomycetes, Agaricales, Mycenaceae.
UCAGAUGUGGUGUAUGGUGCACAUCAGCUCCUUGUGUUGGGCAGGUAUCGGUUAGCUGAAGGUCAGGGUUCGACUCCCUGUGUCCGAA